AUUAAUGCAAUCAAGCGAGUGUACUCCUCUAUUUGCCUGCAGGGUAGAGCAUUCAGUUAUAAUACAAUGGACAUGCCUGUUGUGCCCAAGGACUAGUCACCAAUCACAUCUACUCAAUCACCACACACACAAGACAGAUCACGUGGUUCGGCCAUCCUGCCAUGCCCACGGAGAGAAAACAAUAAUUCCUAACACCGAAUGAAUGACAUACAAAAUGAGGAGAUCACCUCCUUUCAUCUCUCACCAUCUCACUGUCUGUUCUCUCCUCUCACAUCACAAACUAACUCCCACCAUCAACAAAUCUCUUCUCUGCUAUCAGUACACUCCUUCCAGCCCCUUUGCACACGCAACAUGCUGUGUGCUCCUAGUAACCCCCAAGGAUUAAAUUUCUGCUCCACACCUCUUCUCUCUGACAACCUUCUGAUUUAUAGGCCAUAGAGAAGAGCAGAUUAGGCUCAGCAUGAGCUCAUACAUGCCCACCAAUUUGAAUUUCGGGGAAGAGAGGUUGGCCUCCAUCUUGGACUUCUUCGUCAGCCUUUCUCUGACAGAAACUGUCAUCGCCCUCUCUCUCUUCAGCUUCUUCAUCAAACACACCUUCCUUCUUUCAUACGCAAGCAUUUCCUUCAAUCUGAAUUCAAGUCUACUAUUCAUGGGCUUGGGCCCUCUCUUGCUUGACUUGGGCUUCAGGGUUGGGCUUUGGCUUUCUUCCAUGGCUGGAUUCAACAAUCUCCCCUCCACCCUAUUGGAGGGUAUCGAUAUCGUAAUUGUCCAUUGGACACUUCUGCUCCAGCUCCCCCGUAGAUCUGAAAGCAGAAGAUCUGAAACAGCAUCCGAGAUACGUUGCCUCAUCCAUGGGCAACUUCACUUCCCCCGAAGUGAAUGCACUUCCAACCCGAAGUUCUGCACCUUCUUACUUAGGUAGCCCUGCUCGCAAAAAAAAAAAAAAAAAAACCCCCCCCCCCCCCCCUCACCGAGUGCGCUGCAAAGUACGCGUUUUACAAGUCGUCGUGACUCAUCUCUCGCUCCCUUGUGUGGCACAACUGGAGAGAUCACUAUCACUUAUCUAGAGUGAAAUAGCUCAUUUCGGCGAUGUCCGCCUGCGCUUACAAUCGACUCUUUCUCUCUCCUUUGAGCUCGCUUUGACAUCCUGCACUGGUUGCACCUUCCUGUGUCUGGCCAGACUUCCGCACGUAUCCCAAAGCAUCUCCUUGUUGCUCCUGUACCAUUCCGAUCCUUCAGUAACUCCUUCUGAUAUCCCUGCGCUUGCUUUGCGUGCCUCUGUGUAAUGGUUGCUUUCCUCUUCAUUCUUCCUCGCUAUUACCACUGGCCUAUGUCAGACAACAGUCUUCUUGUCUGGACACUCCCCUACAGUCGGUAUAGUCCUUCAGUCUUCCUUCUCUUGCAGUCAUUUUCUAUUCCUUGAAACUCUGAGUGUUCCUCCACUAGUUCAAGCUUCAUCGCGUCGAAUCUUGCAUCUCAAUGAAACAUGCCUUACCCCGGUCACCUUCUGGAUUUCCCGUCUGCCAUGCAGAACCGGACUGUUCCUUGGCCAUAAUUAUUUUGUUGUAAUUGUUCGCCAUCCGUACAAGUCCCUCGCAUGCUACAUGUGUAGAGAACACCUCUCUGUCUCUGUCCCAGUGGUAAGCAUUUCCUAAAUCAGAAAUCCAAUCUGCUCUUCAUCCUGCCGUGCUGCUAGGAGAACAUCACUCUCAUCCACAGCCACAUUGCUGUGUUGGCUGCCUCUGAAGACUGAUCUUUGUGCUUUGUUCCUUGGACAAUCUCUUGUUCCUCAUGUCGCAAUAAAAGCACUUAAAUUGUGGCGACUCUGGAUUUUGUCCUUCGCCGUCAUCUUCCGGUAUCUCUUCCUUGACCUCUUUUCCUGACCUCUGUGACCUCCUUCUUGAGACCUCUUCCUGCUUCGUCUUUUGGAACCUCUUCCUGGUGGCUCCUCUAGAACUCGCCGUUUGUUCGCGCCACUGUAGUCCCUCUCUGAAGUUUCACACAAGCCUCCUCAUUAAGGCUUAUUCUGAUAUGUCUUUUCCCGAUACAUCUCCUCACUUGGUCCACAACCCAUGAGCACUGUCUCAUCGUGCUACAUGUUGGAACACCCCUGUGUUCAUUGCAUUGUCUGAUCUGCAACCUCAUCUCAUCGUGCUACACUGAUGGAACACUCGUGUCCCAAUGCAUGUCUGAUCUGCCCAAUCCAUCUACCUGUUCAUCUCCUUCCUUCCUUCAUCCUUGGUUUUCCACAGGGCGUAAUCCGUAGCUGAAAGCGUUAUUCGAGCUCACAAACACUCCGCCAUCUUCUUCUCCCCAUAUGGAGCAAUAUCUGAAAUCACCCCGCAGAUGAUUCGAAAUAUCGAAACUUAGAAAGGGCUUUUCUGUCGAAAUCAAACACUUCUGCUAUCCAAAUUGAUUAAAUCAAAACUUUAGGGACUUAAAUUAUAAUGUUUCCAAAAUGUUCAGGGCACAUCUAUAAUAACAGAAAGUUUCAGGACUGAAAUGUGGCAAUUUACUGUUUUGUCAACGAUCACGAUUGACCGGUCAACGGUCAACGCUCGGUCAACGCCGGUCAACAGUCAACGACUCGAUCAACGGUCAACGGCUCUGGUCAACACAGCUCGGCUCGGCUCCUGGUCAACGGCUUGGGUUGACUAGUCAAAGGUUAUGAUUGACUAGUCAAUUGCUGUGUUUUUUUUUUUUUUAAUUUCAAGACAUCAUCAUUUCCUUUUUUUUCUUUUCUUUUCUCUUUUCUCUUUUCCCUUUUUUCUUUUUUCUUUCCUCAUCAUGAGAUUUGGCAGACUCUAAUUCAUGCGUGGGGCGCGUGUGGGAGUGCGUGGAAGGUCAUCGUCUCCUCCUCUGGCGCGUCGUAGGCGCGUGGAUUCUACGCUCCAAAACUUCAGGCGGCCUGGGGGCUUCGUGUGAGGUCCGAUUUUGAUGGUAUGCUCACGCCAUUUUUGAGCACGUCCGAAUUUGGUAGAAUUCAAAUCGGCUUCCGUUCGCCGCCGAAAUUGCUCCGGUAUUCUCCGGUGACUUCGAACUUAGCUGAUACCAAUUGUUUGUGGCCCAAGGACUAUCACCAAUCACAUCUACGCCAUAUCAAUCACACACACAAUCACAGAUAUACGUGGUUCGGACCAAUCUGCCUACGUCCACGGAGAGAAAACAUAUUCCUAACACCGAAUGAAUUAUAUACAAAAUGAGGAGAUCACACUCCUCUCACUCCUCACCAUCUCACUAUCUGUUCUCUCCCUCGACAGCACCAAACUCCCCCAUCAGAGAUCCUCCUCUCUGCUAUCAGUAAACACUCCUCCAGCCCAGUUGCCACAGCAACAUGUUUGUUGUACUCCUAGUAAUCCCCAAAGGAUUACAUUUCUGCUCCACACCUCUCUCUCUGACAACCCUCUGAAUUUAUAGGCCAUAGAGAAGAGUAGAUGAGCUCAGCCAUGAGCUCAUACAUGCCCACCAUUUGAGAUUUCGGGGAAGAGAGGUGGCCUCCAUCUUGAACUUCUUCGGCAGCCUUCUCUGACAGAAACUGUCAGAGCCUCUCUCUCUUCAGCUUCUUCAGCAAACAUAGCCUUCCUUCUUUCAUACGCAACAUUUCCUUCAAAUAUGAAUUCAAGUCUACUAUUCAUAUGGGCUUGGACCCUCUCUUGGCUUGACUUGGGCUUCAUGGGUUGGGCUUGGGCUUUCUUCCAAUAGGUUGGAUUCCCAACACAUGCGUCACGCCAAGAAGCCAGAUAAAACAGCAAUAACAAAUGAACAAGAGCUCUUUUACAAAAAUUUGGCUGUUAAUUUGAAUAAGCACACAAGCACGCACACAGAGAAGAAAGAAGAGGAAGAAGAAGAAAGACGACUCUCUAUGUACAAAUGCCCAAAGUAGGCAAGAGCCAACAAAUAUCUAGAGAAGUGACUUUCAAGCAUGUAAACAAAACAAAACAAAACAAAUUUUGAAUGUUGGUAGUGGAUGUAUACAAGUAGCCGAACCACUCUAAAAUCUUUGUAUUCAUAUUGCCUCUUACAAUCGUGAUAAUCUUGAUUAAAUAUAUGUUGAAUGGAUUGGGUGCGAUGAAUGUUUAUGCAGUGCUCAUUAGUUCGGUAUCCACUUAACUUGUAAAGAACUAAAAUCGGUAAAUCAAGUUGUAUAAAAUCUCUGUAUUCAUUAUUCAAGAGGGAUUCAGCAUUAUACUAUGAGAGAGCGAGAGAUAAGAACAUGAACAACAAAUUUUGAUCCAAUAAAAGCAUAAGAUAUAAUAUAAGGAAAUUACCUGGCUAACUUCUCUUCCCUUGCUGUUAUAUAAUUUAGAGCUUCAGACCAGGUGAACUCCACAUGAAAUCCAAGCCCAACAUCGACAAAAAUGUGAACCCCCCCCCCCACCCCCCCACCCCCCAAAACAAAACAAAACAAAACAAAACAAAACACACACACAGCAUGGAAGGAAAAAGAAAGAAAAAAAUAACUAAUUUCGACAUUUCAAGUAUGGAUAAUUUCAUGAUUACGAAAGCAUUCAAAAACAAAUUCCUUGCAAAACGGUGAAGUGGAAAUAAAAUAUGUAGAACUGAAAGAUAAAAUUUUCAUUGCAACAGAUAACGGAAAAUUAAGCACUUCAAUCACUAGAUGGCGUCCUAUAUAUGUUAUCCUCGCCAAUUGACCAGCAGGUAUAAGUUUCAGGUAAUAAAAUCAUUAGACAAUACCCAUAAUGGUGGUCAGUCAGUCUCAUAUGAAUGGAAAAAGAACUAGCAGUUGAGUGUGAAUAACAAACAGCAAAAGAACUAAUACAUGGAACCAAUUUAUAGAAUUUCCAGGUUUUACCGUUUUAAAAAUACAGAAAAAAUAAAGCAACAAAAACAAUAAAAAUACAGAACAUGUGCAUGCAUACUGCAGGUGAGCAAAUUAUGUACAUAAUAUUGGAAGUAGCUGCAUGAGAGACUAGAAAAGACAUGAUAUGAUAGACAUACACAUCGGCUUGCAUGUACACUUCAGAACCAAGAUUGGCCAAUGUCCUGAGACUGGUUACACUGUUCUUCCCUAAAUUCUCUAUUUUGUUUCUCAAAUCUGAUCUACAAGAUCAAGAGUUAAGUAUAAAAAAGACGUGGGCAAAGAUCGCCAAUGUGAGGCCAAAAGGAAACAAGAAGAGUAAUUUCUACAAUGAAGCAUAAUGACAACAGAGGUAUUAAAGAAACUCUUUUAAAAUCCAAAAGGAAACAAGUCACACAUUUCAAAAAACAUGAAAUAGGGAAGUGGAAAAUUAGAAGGAUACAAAAUUUUUGUUGUUCAAAGACCCUGUCCCUGCAAAAUACACAAAAAGCAGCUAGGUGGAAUUAUGCACUACUCAAGAAUAACUUCUUAGCUACUUCUCAAGUCUCAACUCAACAAAGAGCAGCGACAUUAUCCCCUAUUCUGGUCAGGCAAUACAUCUCAUUGCCGCUUUAAUUAUCCACUUCCAGAGAGAGCAUAUGGAUCAAGCUAUACCUUGAGCAGCACAUUAUGAAACGAUAAACUUGUGCUGAUGAACUAAUGCCCCUAAAAUUUUUCAGAACAUUUCAAAAUAAAGAAAUUCCUCAAUACAAACAAACCCUUGUACUCACCAAAUGGUCCUUCCAGUACAUCUUCCAUAUUCCUGCUUUCCGUCGGAAGUCCAUUGGAACUUCUAACAAGCAUGAUUACCCAGUCUAAGUAACCAAACCCAAAUUUAUUAUUCCAAAAUGUUAACAAAAAAGGGAAGGGUGUUACUUUUAUACUAUGAUGUAGAAUACACAUAUAGAUUGAGACAUCCUGUGGUGUACCCAAUGUAAAAGAAGAAACACGAACAGUUGUAGCGUCGUGUCUAAUGUUCAAACAGGCACACUCAUCGGACGCUCUUGACUCUUGAGUUUUGACAUGUGUAGGGCGAACAUCUAUAUCUUUCCAAUUAUUAUUUUCUUCUUAAAUUUGAACACAUUUUAGUGUAGGGCGGCGCACGUCUGCAUCAAUAAUGUAGGCUUUUUUCAAUUUAUUCAUCAAUAAAGUUUCUUUAAAGAAACAUAUCAAAACUUUUUGUUCACACUUCACCCAUAUACGCAAUGUUACUCUUGUGGUAAUAAUAAAAUACAAAUAUAUUAGUGCUAGUAAUAUGAAUGUAGCGGUUAUUAUUUUCAUCUAUAUGCAUAAACAUACAAUUAUUCAUUGUGGAGUACUAAACACCAAGAAAAAAAAAAAUGAGUGAGAAAGAAGGGUCAAAAUAAUUUUGAUCUUCUUAAAAGAGGAUGCCUAUUACCUAUACACCAGAUUUAAGAAUUGAUGGAUAUGAGUGGAACCUGUGGUGUCUAGAUAUAAUCCACAAAGCAUUGGGUCAAAGCAAAAGAUCAAGACAAGGAUCUGGGCUUCUGUCCCAAAAGCAAAAACAUUUGUCCAUCUUUGCACUGAAGUGCAAACAAGUUCAUAUAACUAAAACGCAUCUUCUUGAUGGACACUAGCUACCAUGUACCUGUAAUUAAUUUCAAAUAGAAACAACAAUUUCUCGCUAAUAGAAAACCAUAAAUAGCAUAAUUGGUUAGUUUCAUUAAUCGGUAUGACUUUUUCCCUAAGCACCAGAAGUUUUCUACAAAUUGACACGAAGUUCCAACUGGAAAACUAGAAUCCCAUGUUUUAACUGUAUAUAUUAUAGUGCGAGUGAUUACUUUCACAAAAUAACCAUGAGUUUUGAGCUGCAAGCCACCCAACCAAUACUGUUGAUUGGCCAAAAGCUCACACUGAUAAUAUUUGAGGGAGUUAAAGGUGUUUGAAUCCUGCAAGAAUUUCUAGCCACAAAAAAGAAGCAUCUUCCUGGAUACAAGUGCAUAUUAUGAAGAGAUAAAAGACAAAUUAUGCAAUUUUCUAUGUCAUGAUAAGAAAGGGGAGGGUUUCGGAAUCAGACCAGAAAAGGAAUAAUUCUCCUUGUGGUCCAGUGAAGGGUGGAUGAUAAUUCGUAUGCAAAAGUGUGGGACCAUAGGAGCAUGUACCUUUCAGAAGAGCGCGAACAAGGUCUGGUUUUAAGCGACGAUCUACAAAUUCCUCAAACCUCUGUACCUUUUCAUGUCUGAUGCUGUCCAUUUUGUCUUGCCACAAUAUGAAAUCAAAUCAAAAAAUCUUAAGCAUACUCAUUAUAAUACUUUGAUCAUCCAAACCUAGACUCUUUACACUAGACAAAAAGGGCAGAACAAGUAACUAGCUUGCAUCAUACAACAAGAAACUCAGUGUUGGGGCAGUAGCUUUUCAAUGGGUUUUGAGCUAUUUAUCGGCAGUCACUCAUAUGCAAGUAUAAAUCGAUGCCUCUGUACAAGUAAAUCGUGUGUAUGAAUUUACAUUCUCUACCUCAUAGAGGUAAUCAUGUAUACGGAUAUACUCGUAUAUUUUAUAACCACUAUGUCGUGUAUGAAACUCGUGUUAUGCAAAACAGGGACAAAAUACUGGCUACCUCAAGAACUUUACAACUCAAUCCCCAAGUUGAUCAUUGUACACCUUGUCCAAACCAGUACUUAGUUCACGUUCGCGAUUGAUUACACAAGAAUUACAAAGUGAAUGGGCACAAAGAAAAGGCAGAAACGAGUUCGAGUUAGCCCAUUGUCACAGUCAGGCAAUUUAUCGAACAUUAAAGAUGCGAAAACGUUCAUCACAUCUUCGAAUUGAAAAGAGCAAACUCAUUCAAUUAGUUUUAAUUAAUCAAAUAAAAAGGCAACUAUUAGUCGACACGUACUGGUUGGGAGUUAAGAAUUAGCUGUGCUCAUUGAUCAGCUCUUCAGCUCAAGUGAAGACGAUCAAUCAAACUCGUUGCGGAACUGCCUUAAAGCGAUUGAAGUUGGAAAACCUUGUGCGAAGUCAACUGAUUCGUGGAAAGAUUACUUCAAUUUCAAUAUCACGGCGGUAGCUAAGAGAGAGUGUGAGCCUUUCGCUUUUACUAUGCUCUCGUUAGGUUUAAUGACAGAGAAUGAUGAAAUGCCCAAAUACGUUGCCUCCACAUCUUCCGUCGCCUGAAAACAUGCCGUUUCUCAGUCUCCAGUGAAUGGUGGUUCUCCGUCAAUCACAGAUUUCUCGAAACCAGUCCCCCCCUCCCAAAAAAACUGAUUUUGGAAGGUACUAAGCUAAAAUUGAACAGUUUUUUUAUACACCACAAGAAUUCGAACCAGUUUCCGGCAUGAGGAGCGUCGUUCCGGCGUCAGCGUUCCACCGUCUUCUCUUCUCUCUCUCUUCUUCUACGCGGUACUCGUCUACUU
RNAcentral lists this long non-coding RNA (8232 nucleotides) under Actinidia chinensis (golden kiwifruit). Its description in RNAcentral is "long non-coding RNA (ACHI_LNC002148)". The record is from RNAcentral. Lineage: Eukaryota; Viridiplantae; Streptophyta; Magnoliopsida; Ericales; Actinidiaceae.